CGCCCCGUGGCAGCUCCCAACUGGGCUACAGCAGUGCCUGUCCAGGCAGGUUGUGAUCCAAGCCCCUACGCCUUCCAGAAGCCCUUCCCCUCUCUGACGACGGGCCGGUGUCCUCCGUAAGCGGACCGGUUCGGGUGCCCGACACACCUAGAUUCUGGUUUGAGCUGUUAUAGUUGCUAGCUGUGCGGUCUCCAGAAACUUCUCCCACCCCCUUGGACCCGGGUUGCCUUUUCUGUGAAGUGGGACUGGGAAUCUCUGUUCUGCCUACCUUCUAGGGUUAUUUUGAAGAGGAGAAAAAGACGCUACACAUUCAUUGCAUCAUUUACGAAACGGAGAUUGAUCACUCAGCCGUGUGCCAGCCGCUGGAGAUGAAAGGCCGUCGUUCAACUGUAACGUGUUAUACAAAUAGGACGCUGUCCUCCGGUGCGGAAAAUUCACGACCCGCUGGGUCAGACUGAGGGUGUUUGCUCUGCUUCCCUCACCUGUCUUCUCUCCUGGUAAGAGUGACAGCUAGCUACCCGAGUACUGCCCGCUCACAAACGUUCAGGGCAAAGCUAGCUCUAGUAAGAGAAUUUCAUAAAUGGAAAACAUCAGCUGGCAUUAGAAAGAUCUACGGUGACGAAACCUCUGUGUUUUUGGAAGCCUCACUAUCUUGCACCAGAAGGCCGUCCGUGAGGGUAUGGUCAGUGACAUUUUUCCUAUUUGCUGCAGCAUUGACAAGCAGGGCCCCAGACCGAGGACAAAGAGGAGAGCAUCACAAAUUGGCCAACGUUGGACAAUGGAGUAACAGGAGCAAAGCAUCACUCCAGGUGGGCAGGCAGGAAACAGCUGGCUGGGAAAGGCGCCCAUGACCCCUUGCCCCAGUCCACCCUUGGCCUGGAAGAAGUCAGACCGGAAGUGGCCAGGGAACUUGCAAGACCUGCAAAGAGCCGAGGGAGAGAAAGACACAGUCUGAGUGGAGGAAAGGCAGAGAAAGGGAGAGAGAGAGCAUUUCAAGCAGUCUCAACACUGUCGGCGCAGAACUCGAUGCUGGGCUCGAACCGACGAACCACGAGAGCAUGACCCGAACUAAAGAGUCUGACGCUUAAUGGACUGAGCCAUCUGGGCGCCCCUCCGCUGCAGCAUCUUGAACCUUUUGAAGGGGACCUGUCCUUGUCUAGCACCUGAUGUCCUGUAGACUAAGAAAAAGCAAAAGUCAUCAGCUGUAUUCUCAGGGAGCUGUUCUAAUAUUUCCCCACCUUGAAGCCUAUGGUGAUGCUUGCUUCCCUGCCUUGCUAUUCUGCAUUCCCUUGCUAUUCUGCAUUCUUUCCUUCCUGCUUCCCUCCAGCCACAUCCAAUUUUGUGUCCUCAGAAGUGGACGGCAGACCAAUUUUGGGCUUCAUGAUUUCGUUCUGGCUCACUACUGCCCACUCCAUUUUCCUUCCCCUCGUUAAAUGCUACCUCUUCUUGUGCAGUGGACCGGUAACUCACUAUGUCUUAGAUCAAGCAACUCUAAGAAUAGUGGGUGUCAAGAACAGUGCUAAGGAAAGGAGUUGGCUCUGAGUGGAUUUGCCCAUGUGGGAAAGCAGUGAGGUGAGGAGAUUUAGGAGACAUCUGGUUAAUGCCAGUAAUUUAGAGAUUCAUGUGCCGUGACUGGCUUCCAGAAACCUCCUGGGCUGACUUCAUCGAGUUUCUGGGAAUGUCUCUCUGGUUCAGGAUUGAUUUGUGAUGAGACUCACUUUCCAGCAAUGAAGAGAGAGAAGAAAGGAAGAACGAUAGAAAAAUUUGUCUUCCAGAUUCAUGAGAGACGGCUAAGAAAGGAAAGAGAUGACCCGAGCCAAGGACCGAGGAGCUCUAGGGCAGUGUGUGAGGAAACCGCCUCACCUCAGCAUUCAAGAUGGGGACGCCAUCUUCGCGGGCCUUCACUGUGCCCUUGCUAUUUGCCUACUGGGUGGCCAAAGACGAGGCCUUUCUGGACUUGUGAAAUGAAGACCCCAGAAGGUCCUGCAUGUUUGUGGCCUGCUGUCCACUUCUGAGGAACCAGCUCCUUCCCUGGCCUAGGAUACUCCUCCUUGUUGACCAUUUUUGCCUUAUGCUUCUUGUCUUCCUUGUCCCAGUUCAAAUUGUGUAUGGUAUUCUCAACUAUGACGUUCUAUUACCUCUAACUGAUCUCCAGUAGUGUAUUAAAUUUUCAAAACUAAGUCUCUGUGUUGUAGAACAGUAGCAUUUGUCAAAGAUAUACCCGGAACGGCCUUGGGUCAGUGCUUCCUUUGAAGCUUAAUGAUCUAGAGGUACCUGGAGACAAAGAUUUACUUUUUUAUUCACUCUAUCUUUUUCUUAAAAACAUUUUGAUAAGUUUGUGCUAGCACCUCGCACAAUCUUAGAGCUUCUCUCUGCCAUAUUUUUAAACUUUUCUUGAAAAAAAGAGUGCAGGUUGAAUCACUGUGUUAUACAGCUGACACCAACACAACAUUGUAUGCCAACCGUACUCCAUUUUUUUAAAAAGAAAUUGUAUAAAUAAGCUUCUGAGCCUUUUGAAAAUAAUG
Long non-coding RNA from Herpailurus yagouaroundi (jaguarundi), 2525 nucleotides. RefSeq lists it as uncharacterized. The transcript has 3 exons. The record is from RefSeq and is a predicted model, not a curated record. Lineage: Eukaryota; Metazoa; Chordata; Mammalia; Carnivora; Felidae.